RNAcentral lists this long non-coding RNA (299 nucleotides) under Phoenix dactylifera (date palm). RNAcentral describes it as "long non-coding RNA (PDAC_LNC003024)". The record is from RNAcentral. Lineage: Eukaryota; Viridiplantae; Streptophyta; Magnoliopsida; Arecales; Arecaceae.
AGAAUUGUUAAGUAGAUGACAAAUGUAUUAUAUAAGUGGAAAUGGAUGAUAUCAUGUUGCAUUAGUAUAAUUAAUGUCUCAUCGAGUGAAUUAUUUUCUCCAAGAGAACAAUUUGGUGGGCCUUGCUCCUGAUUCGGGUGAUCUUGGUGUUGCCGUCUAAGUCCUUCAAAUCCACAACAAAAUAAAGCAUGAUUGUGGUUGCAAUGAAGUGUUUGAUAUUGGAUGGUGGAGGCCACCUGAACAAGAAAGUUAUUUGACCGAUAGACGCCAAAGUUAAUUCUCUUUGUUGAUCAACGACG